This 532-nucleotide long non-coding RNA is filed under the name Cyanistes caeruleus (blue tit). Its description in RNAcentral is "lncRNA (ENSCCEG00000013327.1)". The record is from RNAcentral. Lineage: Eukaryota; Metazoa; Chordata; Aves; Passeriformes; Paridae.
GUCAGAAUCACUAAAUAUGCAAAAUCUCUGUUGAGUGUGUGUGCAUAUUAUUAUUUUGUAAUGUAGCAAUGAAGUUCUAUGCAUGCCAAGGAAGACUGUGUCCUGUUUGAUAGGCAAAAAUAUUUCCCCUGCAGUAUGUGCCCACCUCCUGCUAGUUACAUAUAUCAGAAAUGAUUGGUAAGUGCCAUUCAAACUUUACAUCUUUUUCCUUGUCGCCUCUAGAAAUGUCACCAUAACCAAAGGUUAGCAAAGUACUGUUUCCUUUGUUGUAAUUAGAGCUGUACUAAUCUCAAGUUGUAACUCAACAGGUACAGAAGAGAUCUGUUCUUUCAAGAACUGUUAGGAAUGGACAAGCAAAGACUCGUCAAUCCACACCCCAAUCCUGAGCAGCCUGGGUCUAAAAGGAAAAGCAAACAACUCUCGCCAUGUUUCCAUCUCCAAGACGACCCUUGAGAGUGUCCCCAAACCAAUCGCCGCCCCAACGCUUCAGCGCAGUGCUUGUACUCCAAGCCGGAGGCCGCUUGUCCAAGGA